This 73-nucleotide transfer RNA is filed under the name Ailuropoda melanoleuca (giant panda). It matches the Rfam family "tRNA". Rfam says of the family: Transfer RNA (tRNA) molecules are approximately 80 nucleotides in length. Their secondary structure includes four short double-helical elements and three loops (D, anti-codon, and T loops). The record is from Rfam by way of RNAcentral. Lineage: Eukaryota; Metazoa; Chordata; Mammalia; Carnivora; Ursidae.
GCCUGGCUGGCUCCGUUGGUAGAGCGUGUGACUCUUGGUCUUGAGGUUGUGCGUUCAAGCCCCAUGUUGGGCA